This 885-nucleotide ribosomal RNA is filed under the name Escherichia coli. Its description in RNAcentral is "partial 23S ribosomal RNA". It matches the Rfam family "Bacterial large subunit ribosomal RNA", at positions 1917 to 2801 of the family's 2925-position model. Lineage: Bacteria; Pseudomonadati; Pseudomonadota; Gammaproteobacteria; Enterobacterales; Enterobacteriaceae. The record is from RNAcentral.
GCCCCGGUAAACGGCGGCCGUAACUAUAACGGUCCUAAGGUAGCGAAAUUCCUUGUCGGGUAAGUUCCGACCUGCACGAAUGGCGUAAUGAUGGCCAGGCUGUCUCCACCCGAGACUCAGUGAAAUUGAACUCGCUGUGAAGAUGCAGUGUACCCGCGGCAAGACGGAAAGACCCCGUGAACCUUUACUAUAGCUUGACACUGAACAUUGAGCCUUGAUGUGUAGGAUAGGUGGGAGGCUUUGAAGUGUGGACGCCAGUCUGCAUGGAGCCGACCUUGAAAUACCACCCUUUAAUGUUUGAUGUUCUAACGUUGGCCCGUAAUCCGGGUUGCGGACAGUGUCUGGUGGGUAGUUUGACUGGGGCGGUCUCCUCCUAAAGAGUAACGGAGGAGCACGAAGGUUGGCUAAUCCUGGUCGGACAUCAGGAGGUUAGUGCAAUGGCAUAAGCCAGCUUGACUGCGAGCGUGACGGCGCGAGCAGGUGCGAAAGCAGGUCAUAGUGAUCCGGUGGUUCUGAAUGGAAGGGCCAUCGCUCAACGGAUAAAAGGUACUCCGGGGAUAACAGGCUGAUACCGCCCAAGAGUUCAUAUCGACGGCGGUGUUUGGCACCUCGAUGUCGGCUCAUCACAUCCUGGGGCUGAAGUAGGUCCCAAGGGUAUGGCUGUUCGCCAUUUAAAGUGGUACGCGAGCUGGGUUUAGAACGUCGUGAGACAGUUCGGUCCCUAUCUGCCGUGGGCGCUGGAGAACUGAGGGGGGCUGCUCCUAGUACGAGAGGACCGGAGUGGACGCAUCACUGGUGUUCGGGUUGUCAUGCCAAUGGCACUGCCCGGUAGCUAAAUGCGGAAGAGAUAAGUGCUGAAAGCAUCUAAGCACGAAACUUGCCCCG